This 10444-nucleotide long non-coding RNA is filed under the name Ananas comosus (pineapple). RNAcentral's name for it is "long non-coding RNA (ACOM_LNC038133)". Lineage: Eukaryota; Viridiplantae; Streptophyta; Magnoliopsida; Poales; Bromeliaceae. The record is from RNAcentral.
ACGCCCCUGUUUUAUGGUUUACUUUUCAGAGCCUUCGGCACCGGCGGAGGCACGGGAUCGCGGCAAGGGGAUCGCUUAGCUAGCUAGCGAGGAGCGGUACUUUGCCUAGGUGGUUUACUCUUUCUUUUUGUAGUUGAGAGAGUGUGAGGUUUUUGUAUCCAUGUAUAGAGACCUCCUAUGUAUCUACCUAUAGCAUUUGUAUCUGGGAUUUCCUUGUAUCACUUUAUAUUUUAUUUAGUGGAUUUACAGUUUUAUCCUUACCCCUUGUUGUAGCAUUUAGACAUUUAUUAUGCUCUGAUACUCCUAGAUGUCCUUUAUUAUUAUGCUUUUAUUAUUGUUGUUUUUAGACGCCUUAUAUGUUUUAGACAUAUGGCGGGUCUGGGCACGUGCCGGGCGGGCUUCCGCUGGGUCCCGAGGCGUGACAUGGUCCCAACCUCAGGAGAAGCCCCUAGGGCGUGGGGGUACAAAUAAGAGGUCUACAAUUGCAAAAACACCCCUGCAGUUCAAACUGCACGAAAUCAGCCUCCUUGUACCGAUACACGGGCCCUUGUACCGGUACAUGCCCCACGAAAAUCACAACCCGAGGCUCGGGUUGGCGGGGUAACCGGCCCUGUACCGGUACAAGCACCCUGUACCAGUACAACCACCAGCCUUGUACCGGUACAGCCAUCAACCUUGUACCGGUACAAGCUCUGCUGAAAGCUACCCGAGAGCUGAUCAAAAAUCCGAUCUUUCGGGUUUUUGUGCUAGGCUUUUAAUCUCACUUCUCGGGAUGCGAGCCAUAGGUCGGAACACUAUCAACGACCCACCAGAAAGUCUGGAAUUGCUCAACACACAACCAACCACUCGGACCUCGCAAUUUGCAAAGGUCCAGUGUGUUACAUUCUCGGCCUUGAUUCUCGUAUCGGUGGUAUCCCGACUGCAAGUCUAUCUUGGAAUACACACACGAUACCUGAAGAUGAUCAAACAAGUCGUCGAUCCUCGGCAACGGAUACUUAUUCUUGAUCGUGACCUUAUUGAGUUCACGAUAAUCCACGCAAAGGCGAAGUGAUCCGUCCUUCUUCUUGACGAACAAAACUGGUGCUCCCCAAGGCGAGACACUUGGUCGAAUGAAGCCUUUAUCGAACAAAUCCUGCAGCUGUGCCCUCAGCUCCCUAAGCUCUGUCGGUGCCAUCCUAUAGGGUGCCUUUGAGAUUGGGGCAGCCUCUGGAACAAGAUCUACCACGAACUCAAUCUCCCUAUCAGGAGGCAUACCCGGAAGCUUAGCUGGAAACAUAUCAGGAAACUCUCGCACCACCGGGAUAUCCUCAAUCCUGGGAGUGUCAUCCUCGCCCCUCAGUACAACACUAGCCAAAUAGGCUAUACAACCUCUACUAAUCAGCUGCCUAGCUCGAGACGAGCUGAUCGUCAUCGCAAAUAGCGAACUCCGGCAUCCACUAAAUACCACCUCAGUCUGCCCCGGUUCUCUAAAGGUAACCGUGCGAUUCUUGCAAUCAAUCGUGGCAUAAUAUUUAGUCAACCAAUCCAUUCCCAAGACCACGUCAAAAUUCCCCAGCUUGCGCAAAACUAGCAAAUCUAUCGGCAUGAUCCAAUCUCCUACCCGAAUAGGGCAACUGGGGCUAUACUCUCUAAUAUCCAAAAUGUGGUCGGGUACUACAGCAUGUCCCGGAUGUAGUAAGAAAACCAAUGGGAUGCCAUGCAACUCGGCAAACAGCCGAUCUAUAAAUGAAUGUGAUGCACCGGUAUCAAAUAAAGCACGAACUCUAAUGCCAUCAAGUAAAAUGAUAACUGCAACCACAUCCUCGGCUGCUGCCGCCUCCUCGGUCUCAGCAGCGUACAUGCGCCCACUCGGGGCCUGUCGGGAUCCCUCGCUCUUGCGCUGGACGGGUGGCCGCCCAGGCUGGUACUAUGCCGAUGGAGUCCCCUGGCUGGCGGCUGGUAGAGCCGGUGCCGAUGCAGUCGACGGUGCUGGUGAAGAACCUCUCGGGCACUCAGUACGGACGUGGCAUUCCUGGCCACACUGGAAUCACCUGCCCGCCCGCUGUUGACACUGCGGCGGGUAAUGAGGACCACCGCUGAUCACACACAGGGAAGGCCGGUGAUGAUCGGAUUCUCCUCGAUGCGCUGCUGAGCCGCGUCCACGCUGCUGGCUCCUCGGAUGCUUCGGCGGCAUCCUAGAGUGCGUCUGGCUCGCACCCUCAGCCGCAGGCCUCUUGGCCUUACCCCUGUCCCUAGCCUCUCGCUGCUCCUGGACAUCCGCCGCGCCGCUCUCCACAAUGAGCGCGCGAUCCACCACCUCCCGGUAGGUUUAGAGGUUAGAGGAUUGCACGAACCAAAAGAUGGACGGCCUCAAUCCUCGCUCGAAAAUGCGGGCCUUGUCCUCGUCGUCCCGCACGACGAAAGGCACGCAAUGCAAAAGCCAAGAAAACUCACGCUCGUACUCGGCCACAGUCCGGUUGCCCUGGCGCAAGUUGGGCAGAUCCUGCUUUAUCUUCCGCUUGACGCUGGUCGUGAAGUAAUAGGCCAAAAGAAGCUCCUUGAACCUCGUCCAAGUGAUAGCUACCAAGUCAGUGCUGGGGUGCUCCUGAAAGUCCAACCACCAGCGGUAGGCCUCGCCGUCCAAGUGGUGAGUGGCGAGCCAAACUCGAUCCCUCUCUCCGCGAAGGUGUCGCGGAAGAGCUUCUCCAUAUGCGUCAACCACUUCUCCACGAUCCAGUGGUCGACCUUCUUGCCGUCGAAGACUCGGGGACUGCACCUCCUGAACUCAUUGAGGCGCUCCAUCAGUCUGUCUCGCUCCGCCCCCUCAACCAAGGUAGGGAAUGCAGCUCCAACCGGGGGCCUCUGCACAAGUGGUGCCGCCAAAACCUCCUCCCGGGGCGCGGCCGCAGGCGCGGCACGCGAAGAACUGGGCGCGGGGGACGGCGCUCUCUGUGCGACGUCCACAACGGGUGCUGGCGGUGUAGGGGCCUACGUCUCCCUAGAAGCUGCUACCUACUGCAGGAGUAAGUCCUCCAGGCGCUUCAUCUGCGCCUACUGUCGGUGCGCCGCCUCAGUCUGCUGUCGGGCCGCCUCCGCCUGCUGAGUGACUAAAUCGGUGAGGGCCGCAAACUGGCCCCUCAACUCAUGGAUCUCGCCAGAUCCAGAGGUAGCGGAGGUCUCGACCUCCUCAAAGUUCGCCACAUUGUCCACCCCGGCAGAUUAGGAGCGAGUAAUCGGCAUCAUCCCUACAACAUCAUAAAAGCGCAAGUUAGAAAGACACGCUAUCGUAUCCCCGCUCAAAAGAUAAAACCCAAUCAUGCGAAAGUAAAGAAGUGUUCUGCGCUACUAACUCCCGAUGUUACGUUGUCGGCCGCCAACGUAACCCUUCGUGAAGUUAGAAGCCAUACCCUUCGAUCGAACUCUAACUUUUUAGAGUUAUCCAAGAUACCCAAUCAUAAUACUUUCGCUUACAGUCAAAUAGACCUCGUCUCUUACGAGCCUAUUUUCUAUAGUCCAACCGGCCUAAGGUUUGCUAGGUCCCCUAAGACUCAACCCUAGGCUCUGAUACCAAAUUAAUCUGUCACGCCCCGGGACCCACCGGAAGCCCGCCCGGCACGUGCCAAGACCCGCCAUACGUCUAAAACAUAUAAGGCGUCUAAAAAUAAUGAUGAAAUAAGCAAUAAUAACAGACAUCUAGGAGUAUCAAAGCAUGCUAUAAGACUAAGUCCUAUAAUGGAGAAAGGAACAUGAAGUUGAAAUCCACUAGUAAAAAACAUAAAGUAGUACAAAGGAAUCCCAAAAACAAGUACUGAAUACAUAGGUGGUCUCUAUACAUGGAUACAAAAUCUCUCACUCUCUCAACUACAAAAAGAAAGAGUAAACCACCUAGGCAAAGAACUGCUCCUCGCUAGCUAGCUAUGCGAUUCCCUUGCCACGAUUCCGUGCCUCUACCGGUGCCGAAGGCUCUGAAAGAAACCACGAAAAAGAGGGCGUGAGAACUAUUAAAAAUAGUUCCCAGUGGACAAGUACUGACUUUAGUGAACUGUGCCACAAGGCCCAAAAGCUACAAAGAAGAGGUCAGUGACAAAAAUGUAGUAAAGUAAUAGAUAAGUAAGAUGUAACUCACUAUAGCAUAAUGUCUCUACUUGGCAUGAUUUGCAUAAGUAAUAAGGCAACUAUAACAUGAAUGCACAUGGAUGUGUAUGACAUGAAUAAGCAUAAGUAUGCAACCAAUACGAUGUCCUCAAGAAAAUAGUAAAGAUGUCAUUGUUUACUAUUCUAGUCAAUAUACUAAGUCAUCAUCUGUCCACAUGUCGUAGUGAAUACUCAAAGUCAAUUCUGGAGAGACCCACCCGAAGGGUGUCUAUGGCCCUGAGACCUACCCAUAGGCUGUCUAGCCGAUGCCGAGCCUAAUGGCCCCGUGGUAGUCAUCAUCCCCACCCUAGGAAUGAGCCUCGCCCAUGGCAAUCCACUUCGGCGCCCAAUCCCGCACGGCAAAUAUAAAUCGCGAUGACUAUCUCCGGAGCGCCGGCUUGUAGGGAGCGACCCUCACAAGCAUGUGCGAAUGAGCACAAUGGCAAGUAGUCAUACGUCCUGUCACAAGUACCCAGUCCUCAUGUCUAAAACAUGGAAUGUAUCGAUUGUCCCAAUGGCCUAUCUCUAUGCCAUCAUGUCUCUAACAUGGAAUAUAUAUAGCAGAUGUACGAUGGCCUAACAUUAUGUCUCUAUAUUGCAGUUUCAUAGUUUUUUAGUUUCAAGUGCCCCUUGAUGACACUUUAUGCCACUAAGUCAAAUUUCCAAUUUUACAAAUGUGAGCUAAUUUAGCAUACUCGACGAGAAUCCCAUUCGUCCACACGAACACUCCUCACAUGCAUGAAAAUAACCCUGAUUGCUUUACUAUAUAGAGUGAAAUUUAAUUUACACAUAAGGCAUGCAUUUUAAGUGUUCUAAAAUUCACAUAAAUUUCAUUUAGCAUAGAAAUGCAUUUAAAAAUACUUUACAACAAGUAUAGAGAGUAUAGGGCCAUUUAGUCCCGUUUCCACGAAGUCAAACCCACCAAAAUCGACUUCUUCGUUUCGCCGAACGAAGUGGUCCACGAGCUUCCUAGUACCCUAGAAGCAUCAAAAGUAGGGUUACCCAAACGAAACGAAGAGCCUAUAGCUCAAUCAUUAACUAUCUAGCAAAAAGGGGUCCAACUCACCUCAAGAGCAACAAUCUCUUCUCAAGCCCCAAAUGAGAGCUAGAACCCUCCCAAUCCAACCUAGAGGAAGGUUCUAAUCCAAGGGAUUGAGCCUCAAAAGCCCUAAAUCAAAAACGCCCAAAAACAACCCUAAGUUUACAAUCUAGGGUUUCAUCUCAAAGAAAACCUAGAAUCCAAAGUCUAGAUGGAGAGAAAGGGCUACUAACCUCUAAGAAGCUUCAAUCCAAGCUCAAACUUCUCAAACUUCAAGGAUCUUCCCCAAAACGAGCUCCAAGUCCAAGCUCCAAGCCUUUACCAAGGUGGAAAUGGCACCAAAGAGCAAAAGAGAGGAUCAAGGGUUUUUGGUGCCUUGAUAUCUAGGGUUUCAUCUAGAAAAACCUAGGAAAACAAGUAUUAAAUGGGGAUUACAAGCUACCAACCUCAAGAGAAGCCCCAAUCCAAGCUCAAAACCAAGUAGGGUUGAGGUUUGAUCCUUCACAAAGCUCCAACCGCAAGUUCAAAGCCACCAAAGGUGAGAAAUGAGGAAGAAGAUGAUGCUCCAAGGCCUCUAAGCAAGCUCUUCUCCUCUCCUUCUCCUUCUUCUCCUUCCCUUUCUCUCUCUAGAAGUGUAGGAAGAGUGUGAGGGAGAGAAAAAUGAGAGUGAGAGGGGAGGAGAGGCUGUGUAGCACACUGGACCUCUGCAAAUCACUACUCGACGCAUGAUUUGGAGUUGGCGACCGUAGUGUUCGCAUUGAAGCUGUGGCGCCACUAUCUUUAUGGCGAGCGGUGUGAAGUAUACACGGAUCACAAGAGCUUAAAGUACCUGUUUACUCAGAAGGAGUUGAACUUGAGGCAAUGCAGAUGGUUGGAGCUGCUCAAGGAUUAUGAUCUGACGAUUCUUUACCACCCGGGCAAGGCUAACGUGGUGGCGGAUGCGCUAAGUAGGAAAUCGAUGGAAAACUUAGCGAUGCAUGUUGUGACUCAACCGCAGUUGAUCGAGCAGAUGAAGCGGUUGGAGUUGGAGAUAGUGACUUCUGACACGCCUAUGAGGUUGAUGACAUUGGUGGUACAACCUACCUUGUUGGACAGAAUCAAAGAAAAGCAAGCUUCCGAUGUGGAGUUGCAAAAGAUUAGAGGAAAAAUGGUUGAUGGUUGCACCGGCGAUUUCCUUGUGGACGACCGAGGGUUGAUGCGCUUUCGAGGACGACUAUGUGUUCCGGCGGAUUCGGGAAUUAAAGAAGAUAUUCUUCAAGAAGCGCACCGGGCGCCCUAUGCUAUACAUCCGGGUGGCACCAAAAUGUAUAAGGACUUAAAGUUGCUCUAUUGGUGGCCUGGGAUGAAAAAGGAUGUUGGCGAGUUUGUCGCUAGAUGCUUAACUUGCCAACAAGUAAAGGCUGAGCACCGAGUUCCCGCGGGAAAACUUCAGAGUUUGCCUAUUCCCGUGUGGAAGUGGGAGAAGAUCACCAUGGACUUUGUGACAGGAUUGCCACGCUCACAGGCGGGGCAUGACGCUAUUUGGGUGAUCGUGGAUAGGUUGACGAAGUCGGCGCACUUCAUACCUAUUCAUACGACUUGGACCGGAGAGAAGCUCGCACAAGUGUACCUUGAUGAGAUUGUGCGACUUCAUGGAGUGCCUACAUCGAUUGUAUCUGAUCGCGACACGCGCUUCGUGUCUCACUUUUGGAGGAGUCUACAGGACGCCUUAGGCACCCGAUUGGAUUUCAGUACAGCAUUCCACCCGCAGAGUGAUGGACAGUCGGAGCGCACUAUUCAGACCUUAGAGGAUAUGCUCCGGGCAUGUGUGAUAGACUUCCAGGGAGGAUGGUCGCAGCAUCUACCUAUGGCGGAGUUUGCUUAUAACAACAGUUAUCAAGCAAGCAUCAAGAUGGCGCCCUUCGAAGCACUUUAUGGACGGAAGUGUAGAUCGCCACUUCAUUGGAGUGAAGUCGGCGAGAGAUUGGCUUUAGGCCCUGAUGUGCUCCAGGAAGCUGAGGACAAGGUUCGAAUUGCUCGGGAGCGACUUUUGACGGCGCAGAGUAGACAGAGGAGCUACGCCGAUCGACGACGGCGAGACUUGGAGUUCCAAGUUGGAGACCAUGUUUUCUUGAAGGUCUCGCCAACUAGAGGAAUCAAGAGAUUCGGGAUUCGGGAAAAGUUGAGCCCCCGUUUCAUUGGACCGUAUGAGAUCUUGGAGCGUGUAGGUCCGGUGGCGUAUCGACUUGCUCUACCACCGAACCUAUCCGGCGUGCACAACAUCUUUCAUGUAUCGGUCCUUCGGAGGUACAUCCAUGAUCCAGCUCAUGUUUUGGAAGCUGUACCAGUGGAGCUGCGCGAGGAUCUGAGCUUCGAGGAGCAACCCGUGAAGAUUCUAGCUAGCGAAGUGAAGAAGCUGCGGAAUCGGGAUAUUCCGUAUGUAAAGGUCCUUUGGAGCAAUCACGGGGAGCGAGAGGCCACGUGGGAGCUAGAGAGUGCGCUGCAGGAGCGCUAUUCCCAUCUUUUUCAGAUGGAGUCUUGAGGUAUGCUUUGACUUUCGAGUUUCGCGGACGAAACUCCUUUUUAGGAGGGGUGAAUGUAGCACACUGGACCUCUGCAAAUCGCGAGGUUCGAGUGUUUGAUCUGUGUGCCGAGCUAUUUCAGACUUUCUGAAGGGUCGUAGACAGUGUUCCGACCCAUGGCUCGCAUCCCGAGAAUUGAGGGUUUAAACCUGUACCAAAAUCCCAAAAGGUUGGAUUGUUGGAGUACUCUCGGAUUAGCCUCAGCCAGGCUGUGUACCGGCACAGCCUUGAUGGUUGUACCGGUACAGAAUUUGUACCGAUACGCCUUGAUGGUUGUACCGGUACACAAUAGGUUUUCUGCCAACCCGAGGCUCGGGUUGGGCAGUUUCGCAGAAGGUGUACCGGUACACUUUCCCGUGUACCGGUACACAAUGCAGAAGCUGGGCUGUUUCGUGGGGGGUGUUUUUGCAAUUGUUGCAACCUCUAUUUAAGCACACCCUAGCCCCCUUGUGAGCUCUUUUGAGCCCUAGAUCAGUGAAGAACAGGUGAGAACUCCUCCCCUUUGGAUUUUUCUCCAUUUUUGAUGGUUUCUUUGUGGGUUUUGAUCUCUUUUCUCCUCUCUUUCUUGCUUUUGUGGGUUUUCCACCAUUGGAGAAGCUUGAGAUCUUGGUUGGAGCUUCUUUGGAGAUCAACCUUCAACCCUAGGGAACUUGGAGCUUGGUUUUGAGCUUUUUGUGAGGUUAGUAAGCCUAAUCUUUUCUUUGGAUUAAGUUUUGGUAGCUUCUACUAGAUCAAACCCUAGAUUUGGCAUAUUAGGGUUAAAAAUGGGGAUUUUUGAUUUGAGGACUAUGGAACCAAAUUGAUUGGUUUAGAACUUUGAUUUAGGUUGGAUUUGAAGGAAUCUAACUCCCUUUUGGGGAUCGAGAGAGAUUCUUUAGCUUUCGGUGAGUUUUCUCCAACCUAGCUAUAGAAGCUUAAUGAUUGAACUUAGUGUCGUUCGUUUCGGUUAGGUGACACUUGUUUUCUUACCUCUAGGGUACUAGGAGGCUAGAGGACAUCUUCGUUGGAGCAAACGAAGGGUUUCGUUUACUAUCGGCGGGUUUGGCUUCGGGGAAAUGGGGUGAGAUGGCCCCUAUGCUCUUUCUACUUGUUGUAAAAUAUUUUUAAAUUCAUUUCUAUGCUAAAUGGGAUUUAUAUGAAUUUUAGAGCACUUAAAAUGCAUGCCUUGUGUAUCAUGAAAAUUUCACUAUAUAGUAGAGCUAUAUGAGUAGAAUGCAUGCAUAUGGGAAAAGUGUUUAUUUUGCAAGUAGAAAAUACAUCUCUUAUGAGAAUUAUGACUUGGAAUAUGUACCUUGGAACAUAGUUGCCAUGCUUUGACAUAGAGAACAAGAGUGUCAUCAAGGGGCACUUGAGACUAGUAAACUAUGAAACUGCAACAUAGAGACAUAUUGAUAGGCCACUCCAUAUCUGCUAUAUUCCAUGUUAGAGACAUGAUGACAUAGGGAUAGGCCAUUGAGAUACUUGACACAUUCCAUGUUUUAGACAUGAGGACUUGGUACUUGCGACAGAUCGUUUGAUUACUUGCCAUUGUGCUCAUUCGCACAUGCUUGUGAGGGUCGCUCCCUACAAGCCGACACUCCGGAGAUGGCCAUCGCGAUACAUAUUCGCCGUGCGGGAUUGGGCGCCAAAGUGGAUUGCCGUGGGCCAGGCUCAUUCCUAGGGUGGGGAUGUUGACUACCACGGGGCCAUUAGGCUCGGCACCGGCCAGACAGCCUACGGGUGGGUCUCAGGGCCAUAGACAGCCUUCGGGUGGGUCUCUUCAGAUUUGACUUUAUAUACCCAUUAUGACAUGUGGACAGAUGAGGACUUAGUGUACUACUUGGACAUUGACUAGAAUAGUAAACAAAGGAACUUUACUAUUUCACAAUGUGAACAUCAUUCUAGUUGGAGACUUUUACUUCAUGCAUAGUUAUUUUCAUACUCAUGCUAUUUAUGCUAAGUAAGAUAUCAUGUUGUAGUAAGUUACAUUUUUACUUACCUUUCGCCUUUCUACUUUUAUAGUCACUGACAUCUUUUGUAGCUUUGGGCCUUGUGGUGCAUUCACUGAAGCCAGUAAUUGCCCACUGGGAACUAUUUUUAAUAGUUCUCACGCCCCCGUUUUAUGGUUUACUUUUCAGAGCCUUCGGCACCGGCGGAGGCACGGGAUCGCGGCAAGGGGAUCGCUUAGCUAGCUAGCGAGGAGCGGUAUUUUGCCUAGGUGGUUACUCUUUCUUUUGUAUUUUGAGAGAGUGCGAGAUUUUUGUAUCCAUGUAUAGAGACCACCUAUGUACCUACCUAUAGCACUUGCAUUUGGGAUUUCCUAUUGUACUUACUUUAUGUUUUAUUUAGUGGAUUUACAGUUUUCCUUAUCCUUUGUUGUAGCAUUUAGACAUUUAUUAUGCUCUGAUACUCCUAGAUGUCUUUUAAUAUUGCUUUUAUUAUUGUUGUUUUUAGACGCCUUAUAUGUUGUAGACAUAUGGCGGGUCUGGGCACGCGCCGGGCGGGCUUCCGCUGGGUCCCGGGGCGUGACAGGCUGCUUAUAGCCUCUAAAGUAACAAAAUCCACAUAGGCCCCUCAAAAACUCAAAUUUACAUCAGCCCGGACUGGGCAGUUUUCGCCUAGAGGGACCGGUCUCCCCGACCUGGGACCGGUCUCUCAGCCUGCCCCCGAAAAUCCAACGUUCGGGAACCGGUCUCUCCCUGCGCGGGACCGGUCUCUCCCCGCGCAGACGCGCUCGGGGACCGGUCUCAAC